RNAcentral lists this long non-coding RNA (382 nucleotides) under Homo sapiens (human). Its description in RNAcentral is "non-protein coding lnc-RPS24-12:1". Lineage: Eukaryota; Metazoa; Chordata; Mammalia; Primates; Hominidae. The record is from RNAcentral.
AUGACUGGCAAUAAGGCUGGGAAGGACUCUGGAAAAAAACAAGACAAAGGCGGUUUCCCACUCGCAGACAGCUGGCCUGCAGUUCCCAGUGGGACAUAUUCAUCGACACCUGAGAUCUAGGACGACCAGUCAUGGGCAUGUGGGUGCAAAUGCCGCAGUGCAUAGCAUAGCCAUCCUGGAGUAACUCACCACAGAGCUACCUGAACUGGCAGCAAAGGCAUCAAAAGACUUCAAGGUAAAGCGUAUUACCCUUCGUCACUUGCAACUUGCUGUUUGUGGAGAUGAAGAAUUGGAUUCUGUCAUCGAGGCUACAGUUGCUGAUGGUGGUGUCAUUCCACACACUCACAGAUCUCUGAUGGGGAAGAAAGGACAACAGAAGGCU